Molecule: ribosomal RNA, 87 nt
Filed under: Warczewiczella cf. amazonica JZ-2017
Lineage: Eukaryota; Viridiplantae; Streptophyta; Magnoliopsida; Asparagales; Orchidaceae
Description: partial 5.8S ribosomal RNA
Rfam family: 5.8S ribosomal RNA
About the family: 5.8S ribosomal RNA (5.8S rRNA) is a component of the large subunit of the eukaryotic ribosome. It is transcribed by RNA polymerase I as part of the 45S precursor that also contains 18S and 28S rRNA.
Source: RNAcentral
UGCAGAAUCCCGCGAACCAUCGAGUCUUUGAACGCAAGUUGCGCCCGAGGCCAGCCGGCCAAGGGCACGUCCGCCUGGGCGUCAAGC